Molecule: transfer RNA, 63 nt
Filed under: Rattus norvegicus (Norway rat)
Lineage: Eukaryota; Metazoa; Chordata; Mammalia; Rodentia; Muridae
Rfam family: tRNA
About the family: Transfer RNA (tRNA) molecules are approximately 80 nucleotides in length.
Source: Rfam by way of RNAcentral
GGGGAUUUAGCUCAGUGGUAGAGCGCUUGCCUAGCAAGUGCAAGGGCCUGGGUUCAGUCCCCA